Panicum virgatum (switchgrass) is the source of this 1861-nucleotide RNA transcript. It is a transcript of the gene named WD repeat-containing protein ATCSA-1-like, with no coding region annotated. The transcript has 10 exons. NCBI's taxonomy places the organism in Eukaryota, Viridiplantae, Streptophyta, Magnoliopsida, Poales, Poaceae. The record is from RefSeq and is a predicted model, not a curated record.
ACUCGAGACCUCCUCGAGCACGAGAUCGCGUGACUUGCCGCUCGCGUCAAUACUUGCCAGUAAAAUCCAUCGGAAUCUGGAUCGGGGUAUAACUGCCGAAUUCAAUGGAAGCUUCCGAGAGUAACAGCUGAUCCCUUCCACGUCGGUCAGCGCAGCGGCGACCACAACCCACCCGGCCGCGGCGGCCCUCGUCCUGCCGCGGUCGCCGUCGCUGCACGCGCGUCACCGCAGAGGCAGCAGGCACGACCGGGAGCGGGCCGGUUUGGAUGUGGCUGGAGAAGGUGAGGGGGAGGGAGCGCGGGGAGCUGCGCGCCCGGAGGUUCGAGGCCGCCGCCCGGGCGCGCCGCGCGGCCUCGCUCGCGCUCUCCAACCGCAAGGAGUUCGCCACCCCGCACCACGGCGCCGUCAACUCGCUACAGGUUGAUUUGACAGAGGGGAGAUACCUGCUCUCCGGGGCAUCGGAUGGGUCGGCCGCUGUAUUCGAUGUGUGGAACGCGACCGAGUACGAAACCGGCUUCAUAGCGAAGCACAGGCACAUACUGCUUGUGGACAAGCAGCACCAGAAUGGCCACAAGUUCGCCAUUUCGGCGGCAGUUUGGUAUCCUGUGGAUACCGGGCUGUUCGUCACAGCAUCCUUUGAUCAGUACGUCAAAGUUUGGGAUACCAAUUCGACUCAAGUCGUCAUGGAUUUUAAGAUGCCUGGUAAAGUGUUCACUGCAGCCAUGUCUCCAAUUGCAACAACGCACAUGCUUAUCGCUACUGGGAGCGCAGAUGUUCAGGUCCGUCUGUGUGACAUAGCUUCUGGAGCAUUUACCCACACAUUGUCCGGUCACCGUGAUGGCAUCAUGUCCUUGGAGUGGUCUGCCUCAAGUGAGUGGGUUUUGAUGAGUGGUGGCUGCGACGGGGCAAUACGUUUCUGGGACAUCAGGAGAGCUGGAUGCUUUCGUGUUCUUGAUCAAUCACAGUCUCAGCUUGGAAGGAGAUCUCCUCUUCUUGAAAGCACAACAGAGAAUGAUCACAUUGAUUCCAUAGGACCUUCAACUUCCACAAGGAGCUUACCUCACAAAAGGACCGGAAAUUCUAAGAAGAACUCACCAACAAUGCGCAAAUGUCAAAAUCUGAUACAUGGACAUUUGCAACAGAGAUUGCAUCCUGGUUUAUCAUCCAGUCAAAACCGUGCAACAUCUCAUUAUGGUGCUGUUACUGGAUUACGAACAACUAAAGAUGGGAUGUACCUACUUAGCUCAGGAUCUGAUUCUCGUUUAAGACUAUGGGACAUCGAUUCAGGAUGCAACACUUUGGUCAAUUUUGAAGCUAUGCGAUUGCAGACUGGCAAGCCGUUGCAAUUAGCAGUCACUGAUGAUCCAUCACUUGCAUUUGUUCCAUGCAUGGCAAGCAUCAAGGCAUACAAUUUAUGGUCUGGUACGACAUUUCGGGCAUUCCGGGGUCACUACGAGCUUGUGAAUUGCUGCUACUAUAGUGAACAGGACCAAGAACUUUAUACUGGCAGCAAUGAUAGACAAAUUCUUGUAUGGUCUCCAUCAACUCCAGCUUUUACUGAAAUGGAAGAUGAUGAGAAGCGGCAUGGGCUUUCUGCAGCUGAUGAGGAUAACUGGAGCGACUGAGAAGGCCAACCUUUUUUCCCCGAAAGCGGAAGGAUUGUAUUCGUGUAUGCUACAUUGAUGUGACGGAUGCCAACAAGUUUGAGGCUGUCAGCUCUUGUUAGCAGCCCGAGGAGGUUGUCAAGUUAUUCUGCGCUGGAGCCUUGUUCCAUACACUUUGAAACGAUUGUGCAUGAUGAUACUUCACCCAAAGUGCGGAAAAAAAAUUGCUUUGAGGAAAUUGGCAGGAGGUUUUUUGA